This 615-nucleotide ribosomal RNA is filed under the name Oryzias luzonensis. RNAcentral describes it as "partial 16S ribosomal RNA". It matches the Rfam family "Bacterial large subunit ribosomal RNA", at positions 1797 to 2619 of the family's 2925-position model. The record is from RNAcentral. Lineage: Eukaryota; Metazoa; Chordata; Actinopteri; Beloniformes; Adrianichthyidae.
CGCCUGUUUAUCAAAAACAUCGCCUCUUGUAAGAAACUAAAAUAAGAGGUACCGCCUGCCCUGUGACUAGUAGUUUAACGGCCGCGGUAUUUUGACCGUGCAAAGGUAGCGCAAUCACUUGCCUUUUAAAUGAAGGCCUGUAUGAAUGGCACGACGAGGGCUUAACUGUCUCCUCCCCCCAGUCAAUGAAAUUGAUCCCCCCGUGCAGAAGCGGGGAUAGCAACAUAAGACGAGAAGACCCUGUGGAGCUUUAGACUGCAAACAGACCAUGUCAACGAUAACAAACAAGAAAAUUAAACAAAUUGGCCACUGUUUCUUUGUCUUUGGUUGGGGCGACCGCGGGAUACUGAAAAACUCCCACGAGGAUUGAGAACCCUGUUCUUAUAACCAAGAGCUUCUCCUCUAAGUAACAGAACAUCUGACCUUUAUGAUCCGGCCUGGCCGAUCAACGGACCGAGUUACCCCAGGGAUAACAGCGCAAUCCUCUUUUAGAGUCCAUAUCGACAAGAGGGUUUACGACCUCGAUGUUGGAUCAGGACAUCCUAAUGGUGCAGCCGCUAUUAAGGGUUUGUUUGUUCAACAAUUAAAGUCCUACAUGAUCUGAGUUCAGACCGG